Molecule: ribosomal RNA, 604 nt
Filed under: Rhiostoma hainesi
Lineage: Eukaryota; Metazoa; Mollusca; Gastropoda; Architaenioglossa; Cyclophoridae
Description: partial 28S ribosomal RNA
Rfam family: Eukaryotic large subunit ribosomal RNA
Source: RNAcentral
AAAAGAACUUUGAAGAGAGAGUUCAACAGUACGGAACACCGCCUAGAGGUAAACGGGUGGAUCCGCAAAGUCGGCCCGCGAAAUUCAGCUCGGAAGGCUGGUCGCGAGUAGUGGGGUUUGGAGAUGUUUCAUGAACUCUCCCGCGGGUUGCACGAUUCCUCGACGUGUGCACCUUUUGCCCGCAGGGCGCCAAAACCCCCUUCCGCCCAGUCAGAAGGCAACCGGGGCAACCAAGGUAAGUGGGCCCUUCCUCGUUUCCCUUUAUAGCUUCGCCUGUCCGGAUCUGCUCGGGGACAAAGGCGCCGCCGCUCGCCUCCAGACUAUACUGGGCUCGUGAGGGGUUCGACUAGCAGAGACUGACCAACCAUCUCUUCCCCCCGCCCCUUUUGGACGGGCGUGGGGGGCUUUUCCAGUCCGCCCAGAAAAGGGUCGGUGGCCAAUCGGUCGGCACUCCACCCGACCCGUCCUGCACCACGGGCCCAGGAGUCUAACUUGCGCGCGACUUCUUGGGUAGUACGAAACCGGAAGGCAAAGUGAAAGCGAAACCCGUCCUUGCGAACGUGCUCAGGUGAGGUCCUGCUGUCCGUCUCCCCCGGGCGCACAC